This 1541-nucleotide ribosomal RNA is filed under the name Escherichia coli O26:H11 str. 2011C-3274. RNAcentral's name for it is "bacterial SSU rRNA". It matches the Rfam family "Bacterial small subunit ribosomal RNA". Lineage: Bacteria; Pseudomonadati; Pseudomonadota; Gammaproteobacteria; Enterobacterales; Enterobacteriaceae. The record is from RNAcentral.
AAUUGAAGAGUUUGAUCAUGGCUCAGAUUGAACGCUGGCGGCAGGCCUAACACAUGCAAGUCGAACGGUAACAGGAAGCAGCUUGCUGCUUCGCUGACGAGUGGCGGACGGGUGAGUAAUGUCUGGGAAACUGCCUGAUGGAGGGGGAUAACUACUGGAAACGGUAGCUAAUACCGCAUAACGUCGCAAGACCAAAGAGGGGGACCUUCGGGCCUCUUGCCAUCGGAUGUGCCCAGAUGGGAUUAGCUAGUAGGUGGGGUAACGGCUCACCUAGGCGACGAUCCCUAGCUGGUCUGAGAGGAUGACCAGCCACACUGGAACUGAGACACGGUCCAGACUCCUACGGGAGGCAGCAGUGGGGAAUAUUGCACAAUGGGCGCAAGCCUGAUGCAGCCAUGCCGCGUGUAUGAAGAAGGCCUUCGGGUUGUAAAGUACUUUCAGCGGGGAGGAAGGGAGUAAAGUUAAUACCUUUACUCAUUGACGUUACCCGCAGAAGAAGCACCGGCUAACUCCGUGCCAGCAGCCGCGGUAAUACGGAGGGUGCAAGCGUUAAUCGGAAUUACUGGGCGUAAAGCGCACGCAGGCGGUUUGUUAAGUCAGAUGUGAAAUCCCCGGGCUCAACCUGGGAACUGCAUCUGAUACUGGCAAGCUUGAGUCUCGUAGAGGGGGGUAGAAUUCCAGGUGUAGCGGUGAAAUGCGUAGAGAUCUGGAGGAAUACCGGUGGCGAAGGCGGCCCCCUGGACGAAGACUGACGCUCAGGUGCGAAAGCGUGGGGAGCAAACAGGAUUAGAUACCCUGGUAGUCCACGCCGUAAACGAUGUCGACUUGGAGGUUGUGCCCUUGAGGCGUGGCUUCCGGAGCUAACGCGUUAAGUCGACCGCCUGGGGAGUACGGCCGCAAGGUUAAAACUCAAAUGAAUUGACGGGGGCCCGCACAAGCGGUGGAGCAUGUGGUUUAAUUCGAUGCAACGCGAAGAACCUUACCUGGUCUUGACAUCCACGGAAGUUUUCAGAGAUGAGAAUGUGCCUUCGGGAACCGUGAGACAGGUGCUGCAUGGCUGUCGUCAGCUCGUGUUGUGAAAUGUUGGGUUAAGUCCCGCAACGAGCGCAACCCUUAUCCUUUGUUGCCAGCGGUCCGGCCGGGAACUCAAAGGAGACUGCCAGUGAUAAACUGGAGGAAGGUGGGGAUGAUGUCAAGUCAUCAUGGCCCUUACGACCAGGGCUACACACGUGCUACAAUGGCGCAUACAAAGAGAAGCGACCUCGCGAGAGCAAGCGGACCUCAUAAAGUGCGUCGUAGUCCGGAUUGGAGUCUGCAACUCGACUCCAUGAAGUCGGAAUCGCUAGUAAUCGUGGAUCAGAAUGCCACGGUGAAUACGUUCCCGGGCCUUGUACACACCGCCCGUCACACCAUGGGAGUGGGUUGCAAAAGAAGUAGGUAGCUUAACCUUCGGGAGGGCGCUUACCACUUUGUGAUUCAUGACUGGGGUGAAGUCGUAACAAGGUAACCGUAGGGGAACCUGCGGUUGGAUCACCUCCUUA